UAUUUAAUAAUGGACGCAGUU
Molecule: non-coding RNA, 21 nt
Organism: Caenorhabditis elegans
Lineage: Eukaryota; Metazoa; Nematoda; Chromadorea; Rhabditida; Rhabditidae
Source: Ensembl